This 535-nucleotide long non-coding RNA is filed under the name Mus spicilegus (steppe mouse). Its description in RNAcentral is "lncRNA (ENSMSIG00000001717.1)". Lineage: Eukaryota; Metazoa; Chordata; Mammalia; Rodentia; Muridae. The record is from RNAcentral.
UGUGUGAAACCCAACAUGCUGUACAACGCAUACAUACCAGGUUAAAAGACUGCUUUCUAGUUUGCAGAUAAAGUAAGUGUUGCUAUUUGUUUAGUAGGUGGACACUAAAGAUUCGAAGCCAAAUAUGUAAAUGAAGUGGUUUGGCAGAGAUACUACUCUUUAGGAAAAUAGAUUUGGGUACCAUGUCAGAUAGUGUUUUUUGUUUUUGGUUUUGUUCUUGUUUUUGUUUUUUCCUUCAGGUUGACUGUUAAAGAAGACUUUUGCAAGGAUGGUGUGACCAUCUAGCAUGGGACCUACUGAUGGUCAGGGAGUGGUCAUAUGUUCCUGAGCGAAAGCACCAUAGGCAGAAAGACUGGGACUCUCAAGACCUGAGAUAUGGCCUCUGAGAUGGUGCAGCUGCAGGAGAGGUUCCUCUUGAUCACCGUGCUGACUGACAGAAGGUUGAGAUGAUCCAUGAUGCCUCUGCUGGGCUAUAAACACCGUUCCUUGAAGUACGUGAUUGUGUUUGGAAAUAAAGCUUUCUGAUGCAAAUUAA